GAUGAACGCUGGCGGCGUGCCUAAUACAUGCAAGUCGAGCGAACAGACGAGGAGCUUGCUCCUUUGACGUUAGCGGCGAACGGGUGAGUAACACGUAGGUAACCUACCUAUAAGACUGGGAUAACUUCGGGAAACCGGAGCUAAUACCGGAUAAUAUUUCGAACCGCAUGGUUCGAUAGUGAAAGAUGGCUUUGCUAUCACUUAUAGAUGGACCUGCGCCGUAUUAGCUAGUUGGUAAGGUAACGGCUUACCAAGGCAACGAUACGUAGCCGACCUGAGAGGGUGAUCGGCCACACUGGAACUGAGACACGGUCCAGACUCCUACGGGAGGCAGCAGUAGGGAAUCUUCCGCAAUGGGCGAAAGCCUGACGGAGCAACGCCGCGUGAGUGAUGAAGGUCUUCGGAUCGUAAAACUCUGUUAUUAGGGAAGAACAAACGUGUAAGUAACUGUGCACGUCUUGACGGUACCUAAUCAGAAAGCCACGGCUAACUACGUG
RNAcentral lists this ribosomal RNA (497 nucleotides) under uncultured bacterium. Its description in RNAcentral is "partial 16S ribosomal RNA". It matches the Rfam family "Bacterial small subunit ribosomal RNA", at positions 28 to 507 of the family's 1533-position model. The record is from RNAcentral.